Molecule: ribosomal RNA, 253 nt
Filed under: uncultured bacterium
Lineage: Bacteria
Description: partial 16S ribosomal RNA
Rfam family: Bacterial small subunit ribosomal RNA
Source: RNAcentral
UACGGAGGGGGCGAGCGUUAUUCGGAAUUACUGGGCGUAAAGCGCACGUAGGCGGAUUGUUAAGUCAGAGGUGAAAUCCCGGAGCUCAACUUCGGAACUGCCUUUGAUACUGGCAAUCUAGAGUCCGGAAGAGGUUAGUGGAAUUCCCAGUGUAGAGGUGAAAUUCGUAGAUAUUGGGAAGAACACCGAUGGCGAAGGCAGCCAUCUGGACCGACACUGACGCUGAGGCGCGAAAGCGUGGGGAGCAAACAGG